This 66-nucleotide transfer RNA is filed under the name Hylurgus ligniperda. RNAcentral describes it as "tRNA-Glu". Lineage: Eukaryota; Metazoa; Arthropoda; Insecta; Coleoptera; Curculionidae. The record is from RNAcentral.
AUUUAUAUAGUUUAAAAAACAUUACUUUUUCAAUGUAAAAUUAUAUACUAGAAUAUAUUAUAAAUA